GAUGAACGCUGGCGGCGUGCCUAAUACAUGCAAGUCGAGCGAACGGACGAGAAGCUUGCUUCUCUGAUGUUAGCGGCGGACGGGUGAGUAACACGUGGAUAACCUACCUAUAAGACUGGGAUAACUUCGGGAAACCGGAGCUAAUACCGGAUAAUAUUUUGAACCGCAUGGUUCAAAAGUGAAAGACUGUCUUGCUGUCACUUAUAGAUGGAUCCGCGCUGCAUUAGCUAGUUGGUAAGGUAACGGCUUACCAAGGCAACGAUGCAUAGCCGACCUGAGAGGGUGCUCGGCCACACUGGAACUGAGCCACGGUCCAGACUCCUACGGGAGGAAGCAGUAGGGAAUCUUACGCAAUGGGCGAAAGCCUGACGGAGCAACGCCGCGUGAGUGAUGAAGGUCUUCGGAUCGUAAAACUCUGUUAUUAGGGAAGAACAUAUGUGUAAGUAACUGUGCACAUCUUGACGGUACCUACUCAGAAAGCCACGGCUAACUACGUG
This 497-nucleotide ribosomal RNA is filed under the name uncultured bacterium. RNAcentral's name for it is "partial 16S ribosomal RNA". It matches the Rfam family "Bacterial small subunit ribosomal RNA", at positions 28 to 507 of the family's 1533-position model. The record is from RNAcentral.